Long non-coding RNA from Mastomys coucha (southern multimammate mouse), 1265 nucleotides. RefSeq lists it as uncharacterized. NCBI's taxonomy places the organism in Eukaryota, Metazoa, Chordata, Mammalia, Rodentia, Muridae. The record is from RefSeq and is a predicted model, not a curated record. The transcript has 4 exons.
CUGAUAACAAAAUGUUAGGAGAAGCUAGUUGUAUAUUUAUGCUAUAAUUUUAAUUUCUAUGGAUCUUUAUGAAAAUUUUACUAUAGCCACUAAGUCCACAGUGAUUCUGAACAAGAAGACUUUAUAAUGUCACUCUGCACCAAAAGAGAGUAGCUGACAUCGCUAAAGACCGCUUGAGGACUGAGGGUGAUAACAUACAGAAGCAAGAUGUUAGAGCGCGAAGGAGUCUGGCUCUGAUAACAGUUUGUGUCAAGAAAAUGUAUCCAAAACUGAAAAGACAGAGCAAGACAGGCCUUCCAGUGUCACAUAGAACAACUUCAUAUGAGGAUUAUUUCAUUACAGAAUACACUUUGGCCAUUUCCUCACAAUUUAUUAACUCAUAGUGUACAGUGUUAGAUGUUAGGUUCUAAAUUCUUAUCUAGUAAAGUGUAAUAGAAUUCCAUCCCCUUCAAAGCCUGGGGGCCCAAGCCAGCCACCUCAUUCUGUCCUGCUUUCUGCCAUCUUUAUAAGCUCUGUCACUCUUUGAAACAAUUUCAUCACUUUGAUUCUCAUGAGGAAACAACGCAUGGGAUGUGUUUAUAUACAGGCUCUGGAAUCAACCAAGAGAUAAGGCACUGGGCACAUCUAUAAGACAUCAUCUUAAUCAGGUUAUCUGAAGUGGGAAGACCCAACCUAACUAUAGGUGGCACCUUCCAGGGGUGACCAGAUAAAGGAAGAUGUUGGGGGAAGCUUCACCUCCUGCUUCAUCGCCUUCAAGUCUUGCUGACAGCACAAGCCUGCAUGUAAAAAGCCGAGGGACCAGAGGAGAAAGCUUCCACAUCCGACAAACACUUCAGCAGCAGAGCUGCAUGCAGGCUACAAGGCCAACACAGAAGUGUCUGCCCUUCUUACUAGACUAAAAUGACUCAUCUGGAAGAAAGCAACGCCAUUCACAGCAGCAGUUAAGUGCCUUCAGCAGCACUCAACAAUUACAUUCAAUAGUAGAGCGCUGUACCCAGCAGGUGAGCAGGCCCAGUCCAGAGUUCCAUCCUCAACCCAAGAGAAGACGCAGGGGACAACAGUAUUCAAGUACCAAACUGCCCUGUAAACCGCAGGCUUUACAUACAAUCUCUAAUAAAAGAUCAGGAGGGCAUGGCAAGGUAGGCCGGACUGUCUUUGAGUUCGAGGAGAGUGUGGGCUAAAAGUGUGAGGGACUACAGAAGAGAAGCCCCGUCUCAACAAAACCAAGGGAAAAAUAAAGCCUAAAUUAUUAUUUGGGAACUCUG